UACGUAGGGGGCAAGCGUUGUCCGGAAUCAUUGGGCGUAAAGAGCGCGUAGGCGGCCCGAUAAGUCCGCUGUGAAAGUCAAGGGCUCAACCCUUGAAUGCCGGUUGAUACUGUCGGGCUAGAGUCCGGAAGAGGCGAGUGGAAUUCCCGGUGUAGCGGUGAAAUGCGCAGAUAUCGGGAGGAACACCAAUGGCGAAGGCAGCUCGCUGGGACGGUACUGACACUGAGACGCGAAAGCGUGGGGAGCAAACAGG
RNAcentral lists this ribosomal RNA (253 nucleotides) under uncultured bacterium. RNAcentral describes it as "partial 16S ribosomal RNA". It matches the Rfam family "Bacterial small subunit ribosomal RNA", at positions 524 to 776 of the family's 1533-position model. The record is from RNAcentral.